UACGUAGGUGGCAAGCGUUGUCCGGAUUUACUGGGCGUAAAGAGCGCGCAGGCGGUCGUGCAAGUCGCGUGUGAAAGCCCCCGGCUCAACUGGGGAGGGUCACGCGAUACUGCUCGACUUGAAGGCAGGAGAGGGAAGUGGAACUCCCGGUGUAGUGGUGAAAUGCGUAGAUAUCGGGAGGAACACCAGUGGCGAAGGCGACUUCCUGGCCUGUUCUUGACGCUGAGGCGCGAAAGCUAGGGUAGCAAACGGG
RNAcentral lists this ribosomal RNA (253 nucleotides) under uncultured bacterium. Its description in RNAcentral is "partial 16S ribosomal RNA". It matches the Rfam family "Bacterial small subunit ribosomal RNA", at positions 524 to 776 of the family's 1533-position model. The record is from RNAcentral.